RNAcentral lists this ribosomal RNA (253 nucleotides) under uncultured bacterium. Its description in RNAcentral is "partial 16S ribosomal RNA". It matches the Rfam family "Bacterial small subunit ribosomal RNA", at positions 524 to 776 of the family's 1533-position model. The record is from RNAcentral.
UACGUAGGCAGCAAGCGUUGUUCGGAGUUACUGGGCGUAAAGAGUGCGCAGGCGGUCCUGUAAGUUUGGUGUGAAAUCUCCCGGCUCAACUGGGAGGGUGCGCCGAAGACUGCAGGGCUUGAGUAUGGGAGAGGUAAGCGGAAUUCCUGGUGUAGCGGUGAAAUGCGUAGAUAUCAGGAGGAACACCUGUGGUGUAGACAGCUUACUGGACCAUAACUGACGCUGAGGCACGAAAGCGUGGGUAGCAAACAGG